GUGAAUUUUAGGGUGUCUACUUUGUAGAGCCUGACCUCCACUUCUAACACUGUGCACUUGAUGGCGUUUCGAACGGAUUAGACCUCUCGGGGAUUUAUGAUGUUCUUAACGCGGCUUCAUUUUAAACAUUAGUUAAAGUAUGUAACGAAAUAUCGAAACAAAAA
RNAcentral lists this unclassified non-coding RNA (164 nucleotides) under uncultured fungus. RNAcentral's name for it is "sequence contains ITS1, 5.8S rRNA gene". The record is from RNAcentral. Lineage: Eukaryota; Fungi.